Non-coding RNA from Picea glauca (white spruce), 1576 nucleotides. The record is from Rfam. NCBI's taxonomy places the organism in Eukaryota, Viridiplantae, Streptophyta, Pinopsida, Pinales, Pinaceae.
GUUCAAAUGAGGAAGGGAUUAUGGUGGAUACCUAGGCACCCAGAGACGAGGAAGGGCAUGGUAAGCGACAAAAUGCUUUGGGGAGUUGAAAAUGAGCAUAGAUCUGGAGAUUCCCGAAUAGGUUAACCUUUUUAACUGCUGCUUAAUCCAUGGGCAGGCAAGAGACAACCUAGCGAACUGAAACAUCUUAGUAGCCAUAGGAAUAGAUAGCAAAAGCGAUUCCCAUAGUAGUGGUGAGUGAAAUGGGAGCAGCCUAAACCAUGAAAACGGGGUUGUGGGAGAGCACAAUAUAAGCUCUGUGCUGCUAGGAAAAGCGGUUGAGUCCUGCACCCUAGAUGGUGAGAGUCCAGUAGCCAAACACAUCAUUUUGUUACGCUCUAACCCGAGUAGCAUGGGGCACAUGGAAUCCCAUGUGAAUCAACAAGGACCACCUUGGAAGGCUAAAUACUCCUGGGUGACCGAUAGCGAAGUAGUAUUGUGAGGGAAAGGUGAAAAGAACCCCCAUCGGGGAGUGAAAUAGAACAUGAAACCGUAAGCUCCCAAGCAGUGGGAGGAAAAUGAUAUCUCUGACCACAUGCCUAUUGAAGAAUGAGCUGACGAAUUAUAGGCAGUGGCUUGGUUAAGGGAACCCAUCGAAGCCGUAGUGAGAGCAAGUCUUCAUGGGGAAAUUGUCACUGCUUAUGGACCCGAACCUGGGUGAUUUAUCCAUGACUAGGAUGAAUCUUGGGUGAAAUUAAGUGGAGGUCCGAACCGACUGAUGUUGAAAAAUCAGCGGAUGAGCUGUGGUUAGGGGUGAAAUGCCACUCGAACCCAGAGCUAGCUGGUUCUCCCCAAAAUGCGUUGAGGCGCAACAGUUGACUGGACCAUCUAGGGGUAAAGCACUGUUUCGGUAUGGGCCGCGAGAGCGGUACCAAAUCGAGGCAAACUUUGAAUACUAGAUUGCUCCAAUAAAAGGGGUAAAGUUCAGCCAAUGAGACGAUGGGGGAUAAGCUUCAUCGUUGAGAGGGAAAAAACCUAUAUCAUUAGCUAAGGCCCCUAAAUGACUGCUCAGUGAUGAAGGAAGUACGAGUGCAAAGACAACCAAGAGGUUUUCCUAGAAGCAACCAACCUUGAAAGAGUGCGUAAUAUCUCACUGAUCGAGCGCUCUUGCGCCGAAGAUGAACGGGACUAAGCGAUCUUCCAAAGCUGCGGGAUGUAAAAAUACAUCGGUAGGGGAGCGUUCCACCUCAGAGGGAAGCACCGACGCGAGCAGGUGUGGACGAAGCAGAAGCGAGAAUGUCAGCUUGAGUAACACAAACAUUGGUGAGAAUACAAUGCCCCGAAAACCUAAGGGUUCCUCUGCAAGGUUCAUCCACGGAAGGUGAGUCAGGGCCUAAGAUCAGGUCGAAAGGUGUAGUCGAUGGACAACAUGUUAAUAUUCCUGUACUACCCCUUGUUGGUCUUGAGGGACGGAGGAGGCUAGGUUAGUCGAAAGAUGGUUAUCGGUUCAAGGACGCAAGGUGACCCUCUAUACAUUGAUUCAAAGGUAAAAGAAGAAUCAAAUAUAGGUGUGUACAAGGUGAGGUUGGGGGUGGAU